Molecule: transfer RNA, 71 nt
Filed under: Loxodonta africana (African savanna elephant)
Lineage: Eukaryota; Metazoa; Chordata; Mammalia; Proboscidea; Elephantidae
Rfam family: tRNA
About the family: Transfer RNA (tRNA) molecules are approximately 80 nucleotides in length. Their secondary structure includes four short double-helical elements and three loops (D, anti-codon, and T loops).
Source: Rfam by way of RNAcentral
GGCAUCGCUGUUCAGCGGCAGAAAUCUUGCCUCCCAUGCAGAAGACCCAGGUUCAAUUCCUGGCCAUGCCC